RNAcentral lists this unclassified non-coding RNA (389 nucleotides) under Hevea brasiliensis (rubber tree). Lineage: Eukaryota; Viridiplantae; Streptophyta; Magnoliopsida; Malpighiales; Euphorbiaceae. The record is from RNAcentral.
AUAUAUAUAUAAUCCUUUACACCCCAUCACUUGAGAUAUUCCAAGCAUUAGCUCUAAACUUUUCUCUGAUGUAACUAUCUCAGUUUUGACUCACUUCCCUUGCUUCGGAACGUCGAAAGAGAUCGUGGUGCUUUAAUAGAGCUUCCAGACAAAUGAUCAUCCCUCAGUUUGAAAUUUUCUGGAGGUGCUGGUAUGGAACUAUGAAUAGCUUGAUCCUGCUCAUUGAACAACUCGCUUUCAUUGAAGCCAUAGUCAGAAAGAUGACCCUGCAGAAAUCGCAUUCUUGACUUCCUCAAGUCUUCUGCUGUCCGAUUGGCAAGAUCUCGCUCAUCUUCUGCAUCAUCAUCUCCUUCAGAAGUUGUCGCCAAAAUCCAGUCAGCCAAACUCUC